CCUACGGGUGGCAGCAGUGGGGAAUAUUGGACAAUGGGGGCAACCCUGAUCCAGCCAUGCCGCGUGUGUGAAGAAGGCCCUCGGGUUGUAAAGCACUUUCAGUGAGGAAGAACGCCUGGUGGUUAAUACCCAUCAGGAAAGACAUCACUCACAGAAGAAGCACCGGCUAACUCCGUGCCAGCAGCCGCGGGAAUACGGAGGGUGCGAGCGUUAAUCGGAAUUACUGGGCGUAAAGCGCGCGUAGGUGGCGUGAUAAGCCGGUUGGGAAAGCCCCGGGCUCAACCUGGGAACGGCAUCCGGAACUGGCAAGCUAGAGUGCAGGAGAGGAAGGUAGAAUUCCCGGUGUAGCGGUGAAAUGCGUAGAGAUCGGGAGGGAUACCAGUGGCGAAGGCGGCCUUCUGGACUGACACUGCCACUGAGGUGCGAAAGCGUGGGUCGCACACCGGAUUAGAUACCCGAGUAGUC
Molecule: ribosomal RNA, 465 nt
Filed under: Vreelandella stevensii
Lineage: Bacteria; Pseudomonadati; Pseudomonadota; Gammaproteobacteria; Oceanospirillales; Halomonadaceae
Description: partial 16S ribosomal RNA
Rfam family: Bacterial small subunit ribosomal RNA
Source: RNAcentral